Molecule: long non-coding RNA, 7839 nt
Filed under: Triticum aestivum (bread wheat)
Lineage: Eukaryota; Viridiplantae; Streptophyta; Magnoliopsida; Poales; Poaceae
Description: long non-coding RNA (TAES_LNC020682)
Source: RNAcentral
AUUAUUAUAUUUAAUUAAUUCGAAUUGACCAAGUCAACUUGACUAGUCAAAAGGGCAGGUGUGGCCCACAUGUCAUAUACUAUUCACCUAAACAAAUAAAUAAACCUAACUUAUUAAAGGAGGCGUACAUGUCAUCUACUAAUAGACAACUUAGAACUAAACUAGUACUACUAUUAAGCCUAGCCUAAUUAAACCAAUGGCCGGCCGGCGGCAUAGCCAGCCGUGUCUGUACUCACGCACGUACACACUACACACGCACAAUGGCCAUGGCCACAACCAGUGCAGCCGCAUGAGCAAGUAGCAGCAGCAAUUAGAGUAGCAGCAGCACUAGCUAGUGGGAUUGGAGGAGCGGCAGCAGCACUAAACAGCAGCGGCGCCGGCGCAACAGCAAGCAGUGACGGGAGCAGGGCGCAGCAGCGCCCUGCCAGCAGCAGCAAGCCGAGGCCAUGCGUGGGCGUGCACCACAAUAGCAUGCCGCGACGAGGCCACGCAUGGGCGUGCGCGCACAGCAGCAAUAGCGACAGGGCAGGAGCAGCAACUACACACACACACAUACACAUACACGGGGGUUCGGGCGAUGGCGAACAACGGCGUAAAGAGACACGGAUUGAAGGGGGAAAGGGGUGGAAUCGGCCGAGGAGCUCACCACUAAGCUCUGAGACGUGGAUUCGCGGCGCGGGGGCGACCGGAUGCGACGAGCUCGACGAUGAGAGACGACGGCCGUGGCGGAAAAUCAGCUCGAUCCCGAGCGUAUAGUGCGGCUCCGGUCGAACGGACGCACGGAGAUGACGGAGUCGGUGACUAGGAAGUCCCUGGACAAGCUCCCGUUCGCCGGGAAGGUCAGUGGCCACGGGGACGGCGACAGCGCAUCGACGGUAGCUCGGGCAUGAGGUUCUCAGGAGAAACAUGAGUGGGAGAGGGGAUAUUUGUGGGCUAGGGUUUGUCUACAGCGACGAGGGGGAUCUUAUCCUUCUCGAUGUGUUGUGGAUGCUCGAUACGAGCUAAUCGGGCGUGUGGACGAGCGUGCCACGCCAUGGCACUGCCUCCUCUUGUAGCGUGAGGAAGGAGAAGGCCCUGCCGGGCUGGGCCAAAGUGCACUGUGGCACUUAGGCCUAGUUGCGCACAGUGGCAGGCCUUUUAUUUUCAUCCUAUUCUGUUUUUUUAUUCCUUGUCUGUUUCGCAUCUAGUUUAGCUAGUAAAUGGUUUUGCUACAUAUGAAACUUGGCACAAAAAUACAGGGAAAUAUUCUGGUUUGGUAUAAAAAGUUUCAAAGCAUUUGGGAGUGUUCAACUAUUUAUAAAAAAUGAUCAGGCCAAUUUAUUGGUUGUUGGUCCACUGUUAUAAUACCCAGGGGCAUUUUAAAUAUCUCCAAAAAUGUUUGUUAAUGCAUGAAAAUUAUGUAGUGAAAAAUUUGAACCUAAGGAACAUUUUAAUUUACUGUUUUAUAAAAUUAUUAUUUGACUUUGAUAUUUAUUAAGUGGCAAUUUGCAUAGUAAUUAUGAUGACAUGGCCACCAUUAGGGGGUGAUUACUGUAGCAUGACACUGGGUGUUACAAAUCUCCUCCACUACAAGAAAUCUCGUCCCGAGAUUUAAGAGGUGGAAUAAGGAGGAAAGUUCUGGCUACGAAAUUCCAACGGAUCUUCUCAUUGUUGGUUGCUCUUCUCGAAGAAGUUGAUCCUUUUCGUUUCUGUCUUUAUUUCUCGCUUCAUGGCAUCAUGACGAAGUUGUCAUUCUUCCUUCAAGAUCUCCAUCAUAUUUAUAUAAAAGAUAAGGGGGAAACUUCAAAAGAACAAAACUCUACACGGUUGCUUAUCUGGUAGAUAACACAGGGAAGGUGGAAGAGCGUAUCUCUUGAAUUGAAACUUAAGAAAGUAUCGAGAGCAAGGUAAGAAAGUGCCAUGAGAAGCUUCAAGUGGACAAGCAAUCGGUCGUUGCCUGAAACAGAGGAUGAAAGGGGUUCAGAGCAAUCAGAAAAAGUAUUGUGUCUGAUACUAGAGUAGAUCAUCUCUAGGAAGGUGGCUCGUGAAUUACAUAUGAAGCCAAUGUGAGGAAUAACUUUGGCAACAAGGGUGUACAUGAUAGUGGUCUUGAUCCUGUGGAACUGUGGGUUAUGGGCCCACCAUGUGGGUUAAAAGUAGAAAGAGUGGUGACACCUUGCACGGUCAUGGUAGCAAGGCAUGUCAAAGGAUAGCAUGUCAGUUAUGUUGGCAACAACGUUGGUACCAAGGGCGAGGGACGAAGAGAACCAUUUUCCGGCUCGCUGAAACGAGGAGGACCAAUAGGCAAAGUUCUCGUCCAUCGGUGGUUACCAGAAUGUCAUCAACAACAGUAACAGGGUCUUACUGACAGAGUUGUACACCAAGGUGUUUACAUAAGUAGGGAAAUAUUACUGCUUAUACCAUAUAGAUCACGAGAAGGGUUAAACAAAACAAUGGAAAGGAAAAUGUGAUUAUUAAUUUAAUCAGAUCAAUGGAAAGGAAAAUGUGUUUAAACACAAAUAUUAAGAGUAUAUCCUUCCCAAGGACAAGCAGAGGAUAACAUCCAUGAUAGGAUAGUAAGUAGAUUUCCAUUUAGCUAAAGGGGAGAGGAAAAUUCAUGACGUUACCCAUACAACAGUGUUUGGAUAAGUGAUCAAGAAACAUUUAGCAUUGCGCCUCCAAGCUUCUUAAUGAUGUUCGGAGUACCACAGUCAUGCUUCGGGAUAGCAUUGACAUGGUCAUCAGGUAAAGGCCGGACCUUGGGAACACAAAGGAUACAUCGGGAAUUACUAGAACACCUCAUGCAAUUUUAUUAGAAAAAAGAUGAGGAGGUGGCCGAUGGGUUCAGCAAAAAUCCAUCGACAUGUCAAAAAGGAUGUAUUUCCAAAAUUUAUAUGAACAAGUUUGUGUUGGCGGGGAGGCAAGAAUGUUGUCGAUGAUAACACAAAUCAUCGAGGGGCAAGGAUGGUAUUUCUCAUCAUGAAUUCGAUUGAUAUCCUGAACGAGCUCAGGAUGUUGAUGAUGAUCACGACACAUGUGUCAGGAGAUUUCAUGAAGAUGUAAUCGAUUGGCGAUGACAUCAAGUCAAAGGAAUUAUGUAGCAAAAGGUUAUUGGAACCACGAAUACGACACAAACUUGAAAUCAAGCUUGUUGUUCAAGGCGAAAAGAUAAGAUGAGGAAGAUCGACGUGAGCUUAGCUCAUCGUUAAAAAAAUGUGCUCCGAGAAGGACCGGGUAGCACAGUUGGAAUUUAGCACGAUAAUGAUAUAGCCGAUCAGGCUAGGAAUGACUUGAAGGAUUAUUAAACUCGUAAGCAACAAAAAUUACUUAGAGUUAUAUAAUCAGAGUGUGGAAUCGAUUCACUUAUCGGCGUUCUCAAGUGACUAACAACUCAAAACCCUGGGAAAUCUGAAAUCGAUGAGAAGCAAUACCAGAUGAAGACUCGUAGGAAGCAACACGGUUCUUUGUUAUUCUCGAGAUACUGGAGAGCAAUACUCGAAGGAAGAUCAAAAUAGAGGUUGCGGAGAUGCAUUGAUCCGUAGAAGAGAAGUGCUUUAACUUGUCCGACAAAUGGAAUCAAAGAAAAACAAUCAUGGUCGGAACCACGGUUGCAAAGGACCAAGCAUAGAUAAAAGAUGAAGUUAUAACAAGGGGAAUACUAUUAUUACAAGAAGCUUCAUGAUAAGUUCCACAUCGGGUCCAUGGGCAUGAACACAAAGUUCAAGGUCGACUCCCACUUCUACAAUGCAUAACCUUUCAUUCACUCCUCAUUUUUGAAGAAUUUUUAGUGAGAAAGAUUAAUCCGGUGAAGCACCAGAAGAGGAUGACUCGCAUCUCUUUCGAGUUCACACUGAUUAGGGAAGGCAUAUAUUCAACCCGUAGGGGUUAUCUUAGGAACAUAUACCACUAACUUAUAGAGCAUAUAACAUCAGCUCAAUAGCAAAGCAUGGUUGACAAUAAGCAAAGGAUACAAUUUACCGAAGGCAAUAUGUAUCAGGGGAAGAGCGCAUGAGAUGUUGAAUAAGAAGGACAUUGCCGGAUAAUAAUCCAACAAGGAAUCUUAUGGUCUACAACGGAGCUGAUGCGAGUAUGGGUACUCUAUCAGAGGAAGAAAGAAUGCAAGGAGAUCAUAUUAUAGAAACAACUGACUAACUCAAAGCUCAGUUGCAAAGGAAUUAUGAAUUCCAAGACAAGGGAUCAGAAGCAAUGCUCUGAUUAGGGAUGGAUAGGUAGAAUAGCCUUAGGGAUACAAUCGAUGGCGAUUUGAUUGGUCGAGAUCCAGCACCUGUUAAAAUGACGUCUGAGCCGGAAGGAUGAAUUCUAGGAUUUGAUUGAGGAUUGUGAGCAUUCACAACAAAUUGUAUCAACGGACUCAAAAUGAUAAAUACAAAGGAUGAAAAUAGAUUACUAGACUUAUGGUAUUAACCAUAAUGCAAGCAAGCAAGAAAUUCAAGAACAAUAGGUUGUUGAGGAUUUUCACAAGAACGAAUGGUAUUACGAAGACUUUUGUGAAGUACAAGAAUCAACUAAGGAUGCGCGGAUACUCGAUAGGUGCACAAAGUUAUCCAUAUGGGUAUUCAGGUGACAAGGAACUGCAAGGCAGUAAGCUCAAGGGAUUCUCGGAACAACGGAGAGCAGUUCCGGGCAUCUUGUAAUAACAAGAUCAAUGGGAUAGAAUGGAAGAUUGGCAAGGGUGUGUAGUUAUCCAUAAGGAUAUUUCGGUGGUAGGGAAUUGCAAAGGCAACAGGCACAAUGUCUCGCGAGAAUAUUGUAGAGUAUCUUCGGAAUCUUCUGAUGCAGCAGGCGAUCAUCUGAAAUAAGGGGCUCUCCGGGCGAAUGUGAUCACGAGAUCCUAAUGUUCGAGUUAGUAAAACCAUUUAACUGGAAUAGAAGAGAGAUCAGAGUCCCAGAUUAUAGACGAGGAGUAAAAAAUCAUAAUACCACCCAAUGGCAACGUGGGCCCGUAGGCCACACAGCCAUGUUAGUAAAAGUAUUUUGUAGUAACUAGACUCGACUUCGAUCAAGGAGUUAGAAAGGGGGCUACCUACAGGAAACCGGCUCUGAUACCAACUUGUGACGCCCCUAAUUAAAUCAUACACUAAUCAUACACACAAAUGUGUACGAUCAAGAUCAGGGACUCAUGGGAAGAUAUCACAACACAACUCUAGACACAAAUUAAAAAUAAUACAUGCUUUAUAUUACAAGUCAGGGCCUCGAGGGCUCGAAUACAUCAGCUCGAAAACACAAGAGUCAACGAAAGCAACAAUAUCUGAGUACAGACAUAAGUUAGACAAGUUUGCCUUAAGAAGGCUAGCACAAAAGCAACAUCGAUUGAAAAGGCAAGGCCUCGUGCCUGGGAGCCUCCUAACUACUCCUAGUCGUCGGUGGCCUCCACGUAGUAGUAAGCGCCCUCGGGGUAGUUGUAGUUGUCGGUGGUGGUGUCUGGAUCCGGGGCUCCACUAUCCGGUUGCAACAUCCGAGAAAAACGGAAAAGGUGGAAAAGAGGGGAGCAAAGCAACCGUGAGUACUCAUCCAAAGUACUCGCAAGCAAGAAUCUACACUACAUAUGCAUCGGUGCCAAUGAAAUGGGUAGUAUAUGUGGACUGAACUGCGGAAUUCCAGAAGAGAAGGGGAAAGCCUAGCCUAUCGUAGACUAGCAUCUUCAAGAAGCUCCAGGCAUCCUGUAGCAUCGAAAGAGAUAAGAGUAGCAUAAAGUAAAGUAGUAGUAGUGUAUUAACCUCGGCCAGAGAUCCUUUCUCGACUCCCUGCGAGAAAGCAAUCCCAGAGCCAUACUAUCCAUUUCUCAUCUCAAGUAUCCAGUUCUAGUUGUAUCGAUCGGGAUACAACUCCAAGUGUCCGUUACUGUAGGACAGGCUAUCGAUAGAUGUUUUCUUCCCUGCAGGGGUGCACCAACUUACCCACCACGCUCGAUUAACUCCGGCCGGACACACUUUCCUGGGUCAUGCCCGGUCUCGGGCAAACAAUACGCCGCAACCCGACCUAGGCUUAAAAGAGAGGUCAAGCACGCCGGACUAAACCUAUGCCCCCAGGGGUCUUGGGCCAUCGCCCUAGGAACUCCUGUACGUUGCGUGGGCGGCUGGUGAGCAGACCUAACUACCUCCUUAAAAAGGCAGGAGCUUACUAGUCCAACCCAGCGCGCGCCGCUCAGUCACUGACGUCUAAUAAGCUUCGGCUGAUGUAUACGACGCAGAACGCCCAUCUAUGCCCAUGUGAUGGUUAGUGCUAUCAGGCCAGCGGCCCCUCAGAUCAAAUAUCCAAACCGUUAGUGUCUUGGUAGUGCGGUCACGAGCAGAGACAAACGAAAGAUGUGACCAUGUCGCCCCGUCUCGAGUACUUGUGACAAGGGCAAAGAAUGCCCGGCCACGCCUCGUAAGUGUCUCGCAGGCACCUUCCAGGUCAACCCGACUCCACAUCACUCGCUAUUAAGCUCGCGCGGGUACCCCUCAGGGCCGACCCAUCUUUAGUAACAUGGUUCAGUGUAAAGUCAUAGUAACCAUAAUAACUGUGUGUCUAACACCAAGGGGAAAACCCGAGGAAUCACCCCCGGUGAAUUCCACUUGAUGUAAUCAUCAAGGUGAACGUAAGAGGAUCCACCCUCGAGGUUCACACUUGAGGGGUUGCACGACAGAGCCGUAUCGGAAGUGGUUAAGGAGGAAAUCACCCUCGAUGGCCAUGACCGAAUAGCUACACUACAAGGUUAACAUCGGAAGUGCUGAUGAGGUCUCACCCUCGGCACUCGAGAGUAACCCAGUAGUGUCAAGCAACUAAAGGAAAGUGAUGUGCGGUGCCGGGGCCUGGUCUUCGAUCCCGUUGAUCGGGUCUGCUGAUAAUCCAGCGGGGCAGUCGGGACAAAGUGGGGGUCUCUGAUGGGUCUCUACCUAGCCUAUACUAAACAGUAUAGGAUAAGCAAGUAGGUAACAACAAGUUACAAUAAACAGGCUAUGCAUCAGAAUAGGAGCAAACAAUAACAAUAGCAAAAUCUAAUGCAAGCAUGAGAGAAUGGAAUGGGUGAUAUCGGGAUGAUCAAAGGGGAGGCUUGCCUGGAAGCUCCGACGAAAGGGGAGAAGGGUCGUCGUCGAAGUAGUCGAUCACAGGGACAUCAACAGCGGUCUCGGGGUCUACCGGGGAGAAGAAGAAGGGGAAGAAACAAUGAAUACAGAGCAAACAAGAUCAAUACUAUGCAUGAAAAGACAAAAAGCAAUGCUAGGGGUGUUCUAAUGCAGUACUACACGAUACCGACAAAGGGAGGAAACAUCCGGAAAAGUUUUCCCAAAGUUUGGCAUUUUUGGACAGAUGAAACGAAGGUGGACGGUUGCAGGUUCGCUAUGCUAGAGACGUGUGGCAGACGAACGGGCUGUGUAUUCAGAUUCGUCUCGUCGUUCUGAGCAACUUUCAUAUAUAAACCUUUUUCAUCCGAGCUACGGAUUAUUUUUUAUUAUUUUUCAAUGAUUUACUAAUAUUCUAGAAUUUUUGGAAUUAUUAUAUUUAAUUAAUUCGAAUUGACCAAGUCAACUUGACUAGUCAAAAGGGCAGGUGUGGCCCACAUGUCAUAUACUAUUCACCUAAACAAAUAAAUAAACCUAACUUAUUAAAGGGGGCCUACAUGUCACCUACUAAUAAACUAACUUAAAACUAAACUAGUACUACUAUUAAGCCUAGCCUAAUUAAACCAGGGGCCGGCCGGCGGCAUAGCCAGCCGUGUUUGUACUCACGCACGUACACACUACACACGCACAAUGGCCAUGGCCAUGGCCACAAUCAGUGCAGACGCAUGAGCAAGUAGCAGCAGCAGCACUAGCUAGUGGGAUAGGAGGAGCGGCAGCAGCACUUAACAGCAGC